CUAGCUGGUCUGAGAGGAUGACCAGCCACACUGGAACUGAGACACGGUCCAGACUCCUACGGGAGGCAGCAGUGGGGAAUAUUGCACAAUGGGCGCAAGCCUGAUGCAGCCAUGCCGCGUGUAUGAAGAAGGCCUUCGGGUUGUAAAGUACUUUCAGCGGGGAGGAAGGGAGUAAAGUUAAUACCUUUGCUCAUUGACGUUACCCGCAGAAGAAGCACCGGCUAACUCCGUGCCAGCAGCCGCGGUAAUACGGAGGGUGCAAGCGUUAAUCGGAAUUACUGGGCGUAAAGCGCACGCAGGCGGUUUGUUAAGUCAGAUGUGAAAUCCCCGGGCUCAACCUGGGAACUGCAUCUGAUACUGGCAAGCUUGAGUCUC
This 375-nucleotide ribosomal RNA is filed under the name Escherichia coli. Its description in RNAcentral is "bacterial SSU rRNA". It matches the Rfam family "Bacterial small subunit ribosomal RNA", at positions 283 to 650 of the family's 1533-position model. Lineage: Bacteria; Pseudomonadati; Pseudomonadota; Gammaproteobacteria; Enterobacterales; Enterobacteriaceae. The record is from RNAcentral.